UAUUUCCUCAAUUCUCUGUAUAUUUGACUCAGUUUAAGUGAAGCACAAAGAGAGAGGAGAGAGGGGGAGGGAGAGAGGGGGAGAGGGGGAGGGAGAGAGUCGUACGGCAAUGGCGACGCUUGAUAUUCCCGUUUCAUCGUCUUCUCUCUCUAAACUCUUUAUAUUUAUCUCCGAGAUGUGCUUGCCUCAUCUCAAAGUCACUGAUCAGCCAUAUUUCCAGGGAGCAGUUGCAUUCCGUACAAUCUUCCAGUUGUGGAGUGGAUCUUCAUAAUUUGGUUCUGCCUAGGAGAUAGUUUGUGUGUGAAUUUUAACUCUGGGUACUAAAAUUGUUUCCUUUUAUCAAGUAUGCAAUUAGAAUUUAGAAUUAAUUUACAUAGCUUCCUCCACAAAGAUAAAUGUGUGUGUGUGUGUUUUUCUAUGAGCUACAUCUGUUUCGUGGUACUCUGUGUCUGAGACACUUGUUUCAUUUUUUAUGGGGUAUGUUAGCAUGAAUUACAUAAAACCCCUUACUAGAUUUGAUUCCCUUUGGUACCAAUAUAGUGUUAUUUCCUGCAAAGUUUCUGAGUUUACUAUUUGCACA
Cornus florida is the source of this 580-nucleotide long non-coding RNA. RefSeq lists it as uncharacterized. The transcript has 2 exons. Lineage: Eukaryota; Viridiplantae; Streptophyta; Magnoliopsida; Cornales; Cornaceae. The record is from RefSeq and is a predicted model, not a curated record.